UACGGAGGGUGCAAGCGUUAUCCGGAUUCACUGGGUUUAAAGGGUGCGUAGGCGGGUAUAUAAGUCAGUGGUGAAAGCUCCGAGCUUAACUUGGAAACUGCCAUUGAUACUGUAUAUCUUGAAUGUCGUAGAGGUUAGCGGAAUGUUGCAUGUAGCGGUGAAAUGCUUAGAUAUGUUACAGAACACCAAUUGCGAAGGCAGCUAACUAUGCGAUGAUUGACGCUGAGGCACGAAAGCGUGGGGAGCAAACAGG
RNAcentral lists this ribosomal RNA (253 nucleotides) under uncultured bacterium. RNAcentral's name for it is "partial 16S ribosomal RNA". It matches the Rfam family "Bacterial small subunit ribosomal RNA", at positions 524 to 776 of the family's 1533-position model. The record is from RNAcentral.